UGAGGAAUAUUGGUCAAUGGCCGGAAGGCUGAACCAGCCAAGUCGCGUGAGGGAAGACGGCCCUACGGGUUGUAAACCUCUUUUGUCAGGGAGCAAACCUCUCCACGCGUGGGGAGUCGAGAGUACCUGAAAGAAAAAGCAUCGGCUAACUCCGUCGCC
RNAcentral lists this ribosomal RNA (159 nucleotides) under uncultured bacterium. RNAcentral describes it as "partial 16S ribosomal RNA". It matches the Rfam family "Bacterial small subunit ribosomal RNA", at positions 355 to 509 of the family's 1533-position model. The record is from RNAcentral.